CUAGUUAUAAAUUAGAGUGUACGCAGUGCAGACUUCAGUCCUAUACGAUCAGCUGAUCAGUGUUUUGUGACCAGUGUACAAUUAGUUCAAUCAAAACAAUUCAAAUUGCGAGAUUUUAAAGGGUUAAACUUGUAAAGGAAUCAGGAUAUCUACGGAAUCUAAGUGAGGAGAAUGAAACUAAAAGUGAAGACCCACCCAAUUACUCAUUGUAUUUUUGAUCUUGACGGUACAAUCCUAGAUACGGAGAAUAUUUACAGGAAGGGAUACAGACGGGUGUGUGAGAAGUAUGGGAAAAGGGAGAAGUUGACCCAAAGCCUUGAAUCUAGACUAGCGGGCCAGUCUGCUAUGCAGGUAACAUAUUGAGGAUACAGGGUUACCCAC
Long non-coding RNA from Eurytemora carolleeae, 381 nucleotides. RefSeq lists it as uncharacterized. The record is from RefSeq and is a predicted model, not a curated record. NCBI's taxonomy places the organism in Eukaryota, Metazoa, Arthropoda, Copepoda, Calanoida, Temoridae. The transcript is spliced from 3 exons.